CAUUAGCUUACUAGAUCAUCAACAAUGAUUUGAUUAUUGUUAUCUUACAGAAUACGUAUGAGUUGUUAGCAGCAAAGCUAAUUGGUGAUUGUUCACCUGAGAGACGGCAGGGAGUUACAUCGAUCUGGUGGAAUAUAAAAGGGCCAGAGCUUGAUUAAAAGUUACACCUAUUAAGUUACAAAAGAGAACAGGAUGAGAACGCUAUUUAGCUUAGUACGCAAAGAGGACAAGGGCAGAGAGCACAGGUGCCCCCCACACACAGAGAACAGGAUGAGAACGCUAUUUGGCUUAGUACGCAAAGAGGACAUGGGCACAGAGCACAGGUGCCCCCCACACACAGAGAACAGGAUGAGAACGCUAUUUGGCUUAGUACGCAAAGAGGACAUGGGCAGAGAGUACAGGUGCCCCCUACACACAGAGAACAGGAUGAGAACGCUAUUUGGCUUAGUACGCAA
This is a long non-coding RNA of Oncorhynchus tshawytscha (Chinook salmon), 455 nucleotides long. The record is from Ensembl. NCBI's taxonomy places the organism in Eukaryota, Metazoa, Chordata, Actinopteri, Salmoniformes, Salmonidae.